Molecule: transfer RNA, 72 nt
Filed under: Rhipicephalus microplus (southern cattle tick)
Lineage: Eukaryota; Metazoa; Arthropoda; Arachnida; Ixodida; Ixodidae
Description: tRNA-Trp
Rfam family: tRNA
About the family: Transfer RNA (tRNA) molecules are approximately 80 nucleotides in length. Their secondary structure includes four short double-helical elements and three loops (D, anti-codon, and T loops). Further hydrogen bonds mediate the characteristic L-shaped molecular structure. tRNAs have two regions of fundamental functional importance: the anti-codon, which is responsible for specific mRNA codon recognition, and the 3' end, to which the tRNAs corresponding amino acid is attached (by aminoacyl-tRNA synthetases). tRNAs cope with the degeneracy of the genetic code in two manners: having more than one tRNA (with a specific anti-codon) for a particular amino acid; and 'wobble' base-pairing, i.e. permitting non-standard base-pairing at the 3rd anti-codon position.
Source: Rfam by way of RNAcentral
GACUCGGUGGCGCAACGUUAGCACGUCUGACUCCAGAUCAGAAGGUUGCGUGUUCGAAUCACGUCCGGGUCA